UACUCCUACGGGAGGCAGCAGUAGGGAAUCUUCCACAAUGGACGAAAGUCUGAUGGAGCAACGCCGCGUGAGUGAAGAAGGUUUUAGGAUCGUAAAACUCUGUUGUUGGAGAAGAACAGGGACUAGAGUAACUGUUAGUCCUUUGACGGUAUCCAACCAGAAAGCCACGGCUAACUACGUGCCAGCAGCCGCGGUAAUA
Molecule: ribosomal RNA, 199 nt
Filed under: uncultured Lactobacillus sp.
Lineage: Bacteria; Bacillati; Bacillota; Bacilli; Lactobacillales; Lactobacillaceae
Description: partial 16S ribosomal RNA
Rfam family: Bacterial small subunit ribosomal RNA
Source: RNAcentral